This is a non-coding RNA of Acanthosepion pharaonis, 109 nucleotides long. The record is from the annotation of a GenBank genome assembly. NCBI's taxonomy places the organism in Eukaryota, Metazoa, Mollusca, Cephalopoda, Sepiida, Sepiidae.
UUACGGCCACAUCACGUUGAAAAACCUGUUCCCGUACAAUCUCCAAAGUUAAACAACGUUGAGCCUGGUCAGUACCUAGGUGGGUGACCGCUUGAAAAUACCAGGUGAU